AACACUGUUAACCUGCGGUACCUGCGGAGGGAUCAUUACCGAGUGCGGACCCUCCGGGUCCAACCUCCCACCCGUGUCUACCGUACCUUGUUGCUUCAGCGGGCCCGCCACCACGGCCGCCCGGGGGCGCUCUGUCCCCAGGCCCGCGCCCGCUGAAGACCCCCUCUCGAACGCUGUCUGAAGGUUGCAGUCUGAGUGGAUUAUCUAAAUCGGUUAAAACUUUUAGCAAUGGAUCUCAGA
Molecule: unclassified non-coding RNA, 240 nt
Filed under: soil metagenome
Description: partial contains 5.8S ribosomal RNA, internal transcribed spacer 2, and large subunit ribosomal RNA
Source: RNAcentral